AAACAUUCUCAGGGCGGGGUGAAAUUCCCCACCGGCGGUAUGUGGCCUUGCGUCACCAGCCCGCGAGCGCAGCGUGCCCUUCUUUGGGCCGCUGGUCAGCAGAUCUGGUGCGAUGCCAGAGCCGACGGUCAUAGUCCGGAUGGAAGAGAAUGCGG
RNAcentral lists this non-coding RNA (155 nucleotides) under Roseobacter sp. Its description in RNAcentral is "FMN sequence". It matches the Rfam family "FMN riboswitch aptamer (RFN element)". From Rfam's summary of the family: The RFN element is a highly conserved domain that is found frequently in the 5'-untranslated regions of prokaryotic mRNAs that encode for flavin mononucleotide (FMN) biosynthesis and transport proteins. This element is a metabolite-dependent riboswitch that directly binds FMN in the absence of proteins. The record is from RNAcentral. Lineage: Bacteria; Pseudomonadati; Pseudomonadota; Alphaproteobacteria; Rhodobacterales; Roseobacteraceae.